UUUUACACAUAAUAAAUUUGUUUACGUAUUAACAAGAAUAAACCUUUAAUAUAUAUCAUAACAAUUGGAAAUUAUAAGUGUUGGAUAUACAAUAGUGAUAAAAUAUCACUUGAGGAUCCUGGAUACUUUCGCCGUAGCUAUAUUAAAUUCGUCAGAGGCGAGAAAUAUGCUGAGAAUUCUUGCGUGCUAUUUCUAAAUAAAAAGAUAUUUGAAUGAAAUAAUACUUCAGAUCGCUUUAGUAUAUUUCUAAGAUAUGCCGAAAACUACGACUUUUCUUUUAACAGUUAAUAAACAACCUUAAUAUACCAUGACGAAGCCUUAGUUAUGUGACUAAAUACGCAAUUUGACAGAUGUCAAAAGGAGCAGAAAAUAUACCUUCCACGUACUGUUUUAUUCACUAAUCUUAAUUUUUUAAAUUUUAUUAAGACAUUGAAUAAGUUCUCGCUGUUUUCCAACUGAUGGCGUUACUAGAACUACUUGCGCGUUGUUUAAGAUGGUGACGCAUGUACAUAGAAAUACUAUAAACGACCUUGAAAUUCAAUGUCAUUUCGCUGAAGUGUAAACAACUUGGUUUUUUAUAGUGUUAAACAUGUCAAAUUUCAUGUCAAAAAAGAGUAUUUGCGGGAAAUUUUACUUCACUACUUUAUUCAAAAAAAAUCUGCAGCUGAAGCACACAGAAUUCUUGUUGAGACUUACAGCGACCAUGCUCUGUCGGAAACAACAUGCAGAGAUUGGUUUAGACGCUUCAAAAAUAAUGAUUUUGAUAUGGAAGGUAAAGAACGCUCUGGGGCACCGAAAAAGUUUGAAGACAAAGAAUUGGAGGCAUUACUUCAUGAAGACUCAUGUCAGACGCUAGCUGAACUUGCAGAAUCAUUAGGAGUUGAUCACACAAUAGUUUCAAAACGUUUGGAAGCAUUAGGAACGAUUCAAAAGCAAGGUGUCAUACCAGUUGAAGCCGAGAGACUUCGAUCGGCGUCUUUUCACGUGUGAACAGCUACUUCCACGGCAGAAAAGGAAAGGAUUCUUGCAUCGUAUCGUGACUGGCGAUGAAAAGUGGAUACACUACGAUAACCCUAAACGUAGAAAAUCGUAGUGUAAGACCGGCCAUGCAUCAACAUCGUCGGCAAAGCCGAAUAUCUAUGGUUCCAAGCUUCUGCUUUGCAUUUGGUAGGAUGUCAGCUAAGUGUAAUUUAUUAUGAGCUGCUCAAACCGAAUGAAAUCAUGGGAGAUCGCUACCGACUACAAUUGAUGCGUUUGAGCCGGGCAUUGGAAAAACGGCCGCUAUACGAGUAGAGACACGACAAAGUAAUUUUGCAGCAUCACAACCCUCGGCCACAUGUUACAAAACCGAUGAAAACUUACUUGGAAACGCUUAAAUGGAAAGUCUUACCCUGCCGUAUUCAACGGGCAUUGCGCCUUCCAACUACCACUUGUUUCGAUCGAUGGCACAUGGCCUGGCUGAGCAGCACUUCCAUUCUUAUGAAGAUGCCAAAAAAUGGGUCGACUUUUGGAUAGCUUCAAAAGACGUGUCGUUUUUCCGACGUGGAAUUCAAAUGCUGCCAGAAAAAUGGGAAAAAGUAGUGGCUAGCGAUGGACAAUACUUUCAGUGACAGGUUUUUUACUGAUUUUUUAAAAUAACGCAUUAAUUUUCACGAAAAAACAGCGAGAACUUAUUCAACAUCCUAAUAAGAGUCGCACAAAUACGUCACACGUUACAACACUAGCGCAAAAUGAAUAAUAACAAAAUGAUACGCAAAAAUAAAAUGAAUUGUCAACACGUCACUUUCUCGUUUUAUAGUUCUUAUUUCUAACACUUAUGGCUGUAUUGCUGUUAUUAAUGUAAAGUUCUCAGCUAAAGGCAAGAAACCUUAACUCUUUCAUUGCAAAUGGAAAGUAUACUUCUCACUUGUUUUCCUUUUAUUUUUAUAUUUUAAAAAUGUUUUAGGAUACUAAUGAUGAUGUUUGACUUUUCCGGUACAGAAAUACUUAAUUUAUAUGUUUCCAAAGUUUUUUGUCACUCAAUUGUCACUUUGUGAUUAUUUAUAACAAUUUAAAUGUAAAAGCGAAUUUUUUCCGAAAAAGUCAAUUUCUCCUAAAAUAUAUUGAAUUUGACCAUUUUCGGCUAUAAAGGAUUUUGAGAUCGUUGAUUAUUAAUCUGAGGUCAAAACUGAAAAAUUAAAAAUAGCGGAUCUAACAUGGUGGAUGAAAAUAUUAAAAACUGAAAAUUUUAAGUUUAAAAAAAUAUAACCGUAUUUUACACAAAAUUUACAAUAUAAAUGGUCUUUUGUGAUUUUCACUUAGGUGUAUCAUUUUUGAGAUAGAAAUUUAUGAAUAUUGAAGAUUGCUGAAAAUAUUAUACAUGUAGGCAGUCAUAUUGUAUUUAAGUUUGAUAUUAUCUUUAUCAUUCAAUAUUAGAUAUGUAACAGAAUCUAAAAACUGAAUUUACUGCAAUAAUAUCCAGAUUUUUACUAAUUUACUAGCUGAUGGCGGUCAUAUUAGAUCCGUUAUAUUGAAUUUGCAAAAUCUGAAUUCAAAUUCGGAAUUAAUGAUCCAAAAAACGUAUGUAUGCAAAGUUUUAAGAAAAUUGCAUAAAUUGAAAACUGAAAAAAACCUAAUUCGGCAAUUAAAGAGUUAACAAGAUAAAAAAGACUGAAAUCUAUAAAUAGAUUAUCAAAGUUAAAUAAGUUAACAUUUUUUUAACUAAAUUAACCCAUUAAUGCCCAUGGCUAGAUUAGCGGGAGGAUUAGAAAAGUAACUAAUGGGAACUUUAUUUUAGGUAAAAAAAAAUUUUAGGCAUAAAAAAAUUUUUUAAUUUGUUUAUAAUAAAAUUUGUUUAAACAAAUUACGAAAAUUGAUUUUUUUUUAAUAAUAAAGAAAAACUAAUAGCGCUAUUUGAUUGUACGGGAAAAAUUACAUGGAAAUCAUGUAUGACAUUGCCAAAAAUAUUUUUUAUUUUGCUGCAGUAAUGUUAUACAUAAUUUUCAUGUAACUUUUCCGGUACAAUUGAAUGACGCUAUUAAUUUUUCUUAAAAAGUCAAUUUUUGUCAUUUGUUUAAACAAAUUUUGUUAUAAACAAAUUAAAAAAUUGUUUUAUGCCUAAAAUGUUUUUUUUUUUUUAAACCUAAAAUAAAGCUUCCAAUAGUUACUUUUCUGAUCCCUCCGCCGGUUUAGCCAUGGGCAUUAAUGGGUUAAAACAAAAGUUAUAUAAAAUUAAUUUACGACAUUUCGGUUAGUCGUUUUCUGGCCUUUAUCAAGUAUAUCUAAAAUUAUAUUACAGAACGCGUAUAAGUGACAGACAGAAUCAGCAACACCGAUUAAUUUUUUACAAUCAUUAAAUUUUUUUACAAUUUGAUAAAAAAUCCAAUCACAGAAUAUACAUACUUGUUUAAAUUACGUCAAUAAAUUAAUGACUCUCCAUUAUGAAUUUUCGAUGAAGAACUGUUGAGUGUUAUUUCAGACGUGUUAAAUAGCACGUCUGCACUACACAAUGCUUGUCAGUGAAAUGAGAAGAUCGUUGAAAGUCAAGUUUGAUAACAUUAAAUAAGUCAGUUAAGAAUAUGACUAGUCGAAAAAUAAUACUUAAACUAUGUUUAUAAUUCUGUCAUAUAUAGCAUUAAGAUUGUCUGUGUCUUUUUGUAAAUUAAUGUUAUUUUUAAAUUUGUAAAUAAAAACCAUCUCCACGAUCUCUCUUUUUUCUCUGUUUCUCCUUAUGUAAAAUAAUAGAUUUAGAUCAAUCAAAAUUGUGAUGCAGAGAUACGCGAUAGUCGGUGACAACGUUAUGAUGCGCCGACGAACUUUUUAUAUUACGUUGAUGUUCUUUGAUUCUCGUUUUUAUAUGUCGCUUUGUAUAUUCUAUGUAAGUUGAGUCGUAAUCCUUAUAAUUAAUUUUAUAGACAAGUUCAAUCGCCAAAGAAUCAUCUAUUCUGUUUUUCCCGUUUUUUAUUACAUUCUCAAGCUUUUUUGGUAUCGUGUAGCAUACGUCUACAUAUUUAUCAAGUAUACGUCUCAAAUCCUUGCUAGCAUGUCUUACAUAAGGUAUUAUGAUUCCCCCCGUACUGUCUGAUUUUUUAUGGAGUAUCAUUAUUGGUGUUUGUAUUUUUACAUUUCAUUAAUACAUUCAGUCGUCUCUUAACAUAUUGAUGAAUGAGGUUGGAUAACAAUUGUUCAACAAGAGUUUUUUAACAGUUUCCAAGUUAGGUCUAUGAAAUCGUUCAUCAGACAAUAAAAUAGCUUGAUCUACGAGGUUUGUAAUCGUGUUAAUUUUGUAGCCCUUAGAAUGAGAAGAAAAAUAAUUGUUAUACCGGCCUAAAAACGUGAGUUUCUUAUACCAGUUACUCACUAACCUUCGACCAUUUCUAAUUACAAAAACAUUCAAGAAAUUCAAAGAGUUAUUGUUUUCUAUUUUGUAGGUAAAUUUUAACCUCGGGUGGUAAUUAUUGAAAACAUCAACUAUAUGUUCUAGUUCUGUUUAUGGAAUUAUCGUGAAGAUGUCAUCUACAUAACGGGGAGAGAGGGGAAUCCAUUGGACUGCCGAAGAUCUGUUCAUAAAAAUUACCGUUGAAUGAGAAGCUAGUAGAACUUAAGAUGACGUCAAUCGCGUGUAAGAAUUGUGGUAAGCUUAAAUUAGUACUUCAGAAUAUAUUGUUCCAUUUUUUUUCUAUGCUCAAAAAGACUAACUCUUUAGGGAUGUUGGUGAAAAGAGCAUUGACAUCCAAAGACACCAGUCGUUCAUGUGGUUCUAUCUUUAUGUUCUUUAUUAAUUCCACGAAUGACCAACUGUCUCUAACAUGCAAAUUUAGUGUUUCUAAACUGUCCCUUAGAAUGUCUUGUAGGAAUCUUGCUAUGUUAUACAUGGGGCUGCUUACUGACAAGACAAUAACUCGUAGGGGAAAACCCGAUUUGUGAAUCUUAUGGCGUUUUCGACCGGCCUGGGUUAAUCGCUCCGGGAAACGAUUAAUGACAUCAUAAGACCAAUCACAGCCAUUCUUCUGAAGAAGGGAAUAACUGUGAUUGGCCAGUUCUAGAAAAAAAGAAACUGAAACGGGUUAACCCAGCACCGGUUGAAAACGCUAUUAGGCAGUCCAUAAUAUGUUGGUAAGUUACCAUUGGUGCAAUGCAAAUGCUUAUAAGUCUGAAAUAACACUCAACAGUUCUUCAACGAAAACUUAUAAUGGAGAGACAUUAAUUUAUUGACGUAAUUUAAACAAGUAUGUAUAUUUUGUGAUUGUAUUUUUUAUCAAAUUGUAAAAAAAUUUAAUGAUUGUAAAAAUUUGAUUGGUGUUGUCUGAUUCUAUCUGUUAGUUAUACGUUCUGCAAUAUAUAAUUUUAGAUAUACUUGAUAAGGGCCAGAAAACGACUGGCCAAAACGUCGUAAUUUUGUAAUUUACCAAUAAACAAUUGCCAGACUAGUCACUAUUAAAAAUUAUUGUCGUUUUGGAUUGUUGGCAAGUCAACAAAUAUCUGUUCUGAAAAUUAAUUUAGUUGUGUUAAAGUUGCAUGAAUGAAACACUGACUUAUAAGGGGAGAUCGCAGUUAACUUUUCUUCCAUUUUAAUGAGCUUUACAUGGUGAAUCUAUAUUGAAAAAUAAAGUUGUUCUGUGUUCAAGUUUUUUGUCCGAUGCGCCUUCGAAAAAGUUUUUUUUAUAACAAUUGAUAAUGUAGUUUCUAAGACAUAAAGAAAAGCCCAAAAGUUAUCACGCAGUUCUGUAUAGCGCAGUGAAAUCGCGCACGACUAGUAACAACAGGAACUUCAGCGAGUUGGGUUCGACUUGUCGGUGGUGUCAAUUUUUAAAAAAUCAUUUUAUGUAACUAUAUAUAUUAUACAUCAAAAAGCAAUGCAUGGUAGCGCCUUGCGCCAUGUGUACGCACAGCGAGGCACCACCCUUGCCUCUUUUAUGCCGUUUGCGAGAUUUCGUAGAUUAUCAGAUCUUAAUAACGGCUGAAUCGAUUCAUUUUUAAAUAGCUUUAGGAAUAGCUUGGAUCCGAUUUGUAUAAUAAAAGUGUUUUUAUUUUUCCGCUACGUGACUUACGAGCGAAAAUAUCGCGAUUUAAAGUUUCGCAUCAAGAGUAAAAUAUUUUAAGAAACGUCGCCAUUAUUAUUAUCGUCGUCGUCGGCCGAGAUUUGUACUGUUGCUUUCCGCGCGAUAGAUGGCUUACGAGUUUGACACGGACACUAGAAUAUGUCUCAACCCAUUAAAUCCCAAGCAGACGAUUUUCUGUGAUUUUUUUAGUGGUAUUUUAUACUAUGAAUCUAAUCCUCAAAAAAUUUCAAACCACCUAUUUCUUAUUUAAAAUUUUCUGAACUUUUAAUAUCUAUUGUCAGAAUUUAUUUAAAAUGCAAUUUGGACAACUUAUGUUAAUUUAUUUGUAAAAAAAGCUGAUUUUUUUACUGAAUUGCUUUUUUAAAUCAAUAUUUACACAUAGAAAAUGGAUGGAAAUAUUUCUGAGAAGUCAAAAUCUUACGUCCAUGGAUUAUGAACUUUGAAAUGUACGUGUGAAUAAUUCAAGAUAGUGGCAUCCAAUAUGACGGUUAGAAGAAUUAAAAUUCAUAAAAUCUUUGAUUUCUCCGUAUAUUAAUAGUUUUUUCCAUCGUUUUAUCCUCCAAAUUGGUUUUUGGAGGUUUUUGGAGGUAAGAGGCCAAAUUUAUAAAAUUAGAGAGAAUAAUAUUGACAACGCUUUAAAAUCUCUAGGAGCCAUAAAAUUUUUCUGAAAGUGGAACACUGUUGAGCGUUAAGAGUGUAUGUAGAGAUAUUUCUGUGCAUGCACUCUGUGCAAUUUUAACUCUCAACAGUGCUGUACGCUCAGAAAAAUAAAUUUAUGAAUUUUAGAAAUUUUGAAGCGUUGCCAACAUUAUCCUCUCUUGUUUUAUGGAUUUUGGCCUCUUACCAUUUUUUGAAGUGGCUGAUUGCGAUUCUGUUAUAAGACAUCAAAUUCAAGAUGGCGCAUCCAAUAUGGCGGUCGAAAAUAUCUCAAGUUAAUCAAAUUUACUGAAAAUCACUAUAUGGAGGAGCUUUUUUGCGUCGCUGAUUACGAAUCUGAAUUGUCGAGUUGUGAACGGCGAAUUUACUAUCAUAAAUGAAGUAGUCAAAAUUACUCAAAUUUCAUCAAUUUUUAAAUUUAUCUUACUUAUACGGGCGCAGAUGAGUUAAAGUUGUAUUUUACAAAUUCAAUUUUUUUGUUAUUUUUUUCGUACUUUCUGUAUUCUAUAUGAUAUGCAUUCAAAAACUGAAGAAAUAUAAAAAAUAUAAAAAUAAACAAAAAACUAAAAAUGAGAAAAGGUAAAAAACUGAAAUGGUGAGAGCUGGGCAACCGCAAUUUCUUGAGCGGAGAAACUUAACAUGAUUCACUCAUUUUAUUUUGUAUGAUGAACAUAUUUUAUUAAAAGAGUUUAGUAUGAAUGUAGCAGAAUUUUCCCAAAUGUAGAUAAGUAUCAGAAUCCUCUAUGAAUGUUCAUACAUGAAAUUUAUAAGUCUUAGAAAUUUUCUGCUGACUACACGGCAAUAUUCGAUCUACAUUCUUCAACAAUUUAACAAUUUAACAAUUCUGAUUUUGAAGUGAAGGAAAUAUUUGAGAAACAAAAAAGAGAAAGAAAUUAGUGAGAAAGAAGUACUGGAAACGAAGAAAAUUUGUUUGAGGAAGCAGAGCGUGACAGUUUUGAGAUGGGGAUUAAAUAAAAAGGUAUUGUGUGUGACAGUGUUAUUAAACAACAUGAAAAUAUAAUAUAAUUAACAAUUUAAUUAAAAUUUUUUCUUUAUAAUUAUACAUAAAAUAUAUCAUAUAUUCAUAUUUUUUUCAAUUUUAAAAUCUUUAGAAAGAAAAAAUUUAAAAAGGAAAGAGCUAAGUAGGUAGAUAGAUUAAGAGAUAGAAAAAGAGAGAUAGAAUACAAGUUUACGCGAGACAAGAUUUUUGACGAA
Molecule: long non-coding RNA, 7913 nt
Filed under: Monomorium pharaonis (pharaoh ant)
Lineage: Eukaryota; Metazoa; Arthropoda; Insecta; Hymenoptera; Formicidae
Description: uncharacterized LOC118647345
Source: RNAcentral